RNAcentral lists this transfer RNA (69 nucleotides) under Ptilopachus petrosus. RNAcentral describes it as "tRNA-Arg". The record is from RNAcentral. Lineage: Eukaryota; Metazoa; Chordata; Aves; Galliformes; Phasianidae.
AGAAAGUUAGUCUAACAAAGACAGUUGGUUUCGGCCCAACAGAUUAUAGCCAUUACCUAUAACUUUCUC